RNAcentral lists this ribosomal RNA (1442 nucleotides) under uncultured organism. Its description in RNAcentral is "16S ribosomal RNA". It matches the Rfam family "Bacterial small subunit ribosomal RNA". The record is from RNAcentral.
UCAGGACGAACGCUGGCGGCGUGCUUAACACAUGCAAGUCAAGGAGAAAGGGAUCUUCGGAUUCCUGAGUAAACUGGCGGAUGGGUGAGUAACACGUAGGUAAUCUGCCUUUCGGACCGGGAUAACACGGCUAACGCGGUGCUAAUACCGGAUGUAGCGUUUGGAUCGCCUGAUUUGGGCGUGAAAGGUUGGCUUUUGCUAACGCCGAGAGAUGAGCCUGCGUCCCAUUAGCUAGUUGGUGAGGUAACGGCUCACCAAGGCAACGAUGGGUAGCCGGCCUGAGAGGGUGAACGGCCACACUGGGACUGAGAUACGGCCCAGACUCCUACGGGAGGCAGCAGUGAGGAAUAUUGCGCAAUGGACGAAAGUCUGACGCAGCAACGCCGCGUGAGGGAUGAAGCUCUUAGGAGUGUAAACCUUUUUUAGGAGGGAAGAACGGGUAGCAUUCGAACAGGGUGUUACUGUGACGGUACCUCCAGAAUAAGCCCCGGCUAACUCCGUGCCAGCAGCCGCGGUAAUACGGGGGGGGCUAGCGUUGUCCGGAAUUAUUGGGCGUAAAGGGCGCGUAGGCGGGAUAGUCAGUCUGAGGUGAAAGCCCAGGGCUUAACUCUGGGUUUGCCUUGGAUACUGCUAUUCUUGAGUUCGGCAGAGGGAAGUGGAAUUCCUGGUGUACCGGUGAAAUGCGUAGAUAUCAGGAAGAACACCGGUGGCGAAGGCGGCUUCCUGGUCCGAUACUGACGCUGAGGCGCGAAAGCGUGGGGAGCGAACAGGAUUAGAUACCCUGGUAGUCCACGCUGUAAACGAUGGGCACUAGGUGUUGGAUAUUGAUUUCAGCGCCGGAGCUAACGCAUUAAGUGCCCCGCCUGGGGAAUACGAUCGCAAGAUUGAAACUCAAAGGAAUUGACGGGGGCCCGCACAAGCGGUGGAGCAUGUGGUUUAAUUCGAUGCAACGCGAAGAACCUUACCUGGGCUUGAACUGCAUCUGACGAUCUCUGAAAGGGGAUUUUCCUUCGGGACAGGUGUAGAGGUGCUGCAUGGCUGUCGUCAGCUCGUGCCGUGAGGUGUUGGUUUAAGUCCCGCAACGAGCGCCAACCCCCUCCCCUUAGUGCCCAACCAGUUAAAGCUGGGGAAUUUUAAGGGGACUGCCCCGGAUAACGGGGAGGAAGGUGGGGAUGACGUCAAGUCAUCAUGGCCCUUACGUCCAGGGCUACACACGUGCUACAAUGGCCGGUACAGAGGGUAGCGAACCCGCGAGGCGAAGCCAAUCCCCAAAACCGGUCUCAGUUCGGAUUGUAGUCUGCAACUCGACUGCAUGAAGUUGGAAUCGCUAGUAAUCGCGGAUCAGCAUGCCGCGGUGAUACGUUCCCGGGCACUUGUACACACCGCCCGUCACGCCAUGGAAGUCGGUAGCACCCGAAGCCGGUGGCCCAAUCUUCGGAGGG